AUAAUACUCCAUAGAUUAGAGACACUGGAAUUGUUCUUAGGUCGAAAGUUCUGGCGCCUUAGGAUGGAUCUGCGGUCGAUUAGGUUGUUGUUGGGGUAACGGCCCAACAAGCCUGUAAUCGAUACGGGUUGUGGGAGCAAGAGCCCGGAGAUGGAAUCUGAGACACGAUUGCAGGCCCUACGGGGCGCAGCAGGCGCGAAAACUUUACAAUGCAGGAAACUGUGAUAAGGGAACUCCGAGUGCCCGUAUACGCGGGCUGUCCAGGUGUUUAAAAAUCAUCUGAAGAAAGGGCCGGGCAAGACCGGUGCCAGCCGCCGCGGUAAUACCGGCGGCUCGAGUGGUGGCCACUAUUAUUGGGCUUAAAGCGUCCGUAGCUGGACCGAUAAGUCUCUUGGGAAAUCCGCCGGCUCAACCGGCGGGCGUCUAAGGGAUACUGUUAGUCUAGGGACCGGGAGAGGUGAGAGGUACUCCGGGGGUAGGAGUGAAAUCCUGUAAUCCCCGGGGGACCACCGAUGGCGAAGGCAUCUCACCAGAACGGCUCCGACAGUGAGGGACGAAAGCUGGGGGAGCGAACCGGAUUAGAUACCCGGGUAGUCCCAGCCGUAAACUAUGCGCGUUAGGUGU
RNAcentral lists this ribosomal RNA (624 nucleotides) under uncultured archaeon. Its description in RNAcentral is "bacterial SSU rRNA". It matches the Rfam family "Archaeal small subunit ribosomal RNA", at positions 146 to 774 of the family's 1478-position model. The record is from RNAcentral.